Vicia villosa (hairy vetch) is the source of this 85-nucleotide small nucleolar RNA. RefSeq annotates it as small nucleolar RNA snoR14. The transcript has a single exon. The record is from RefSeq and is a predicted model, not a curated record. NCBI's taxonomy places the organism in Eukaryota, Viridiplantae, Streptophyta, Magnoliopsida, Fabales, Fabaceae.
GCGAAGUGAUGAUAGAAAUUCAUUUGUCUUUAAAUCCAUUGAUAUUCUUUGAUGUAAUUCAUGAAUUCCGACAGGUUCUAAUCGC